GCGAACGGGUGAGUAACGCGUGAGGAACCUGCCUCAAAGAGGGGGACAACAGUUGGAAACGACUGCUAAUACCGCAUAAGCCCACGGCUCGGCAUCGAGCAGAGGGAAAAGGAGCAAUCCGCUUUGAGAUGGCCUCGCGUCCGAUUAGCUAGUUGGUGAGGUAACGGCCCACCAAGGCAACGAUCGGUAGCCGGACUGAGAGGUUGAACGGCCACAUUGGGACUGAGACACGGCCCAGACUCCUACGGGAGGCAGCAGUGGGGAAUAUUGCACAAUGGGGGAAACCCUGAUGCAGCGACGCCGCGUGGAGGAAGAAGGUCUUCGGAUUGUAAACUCCUGUUGUUGGGGAAGAUAAUGACGGUACCCAACAAGGAAGUGACGGCUAACUACGUGCCAGCAGCCGCGGUAAAACGUAGGUCACAAGCGUUGUCCGGAAUUACUGGGUGUAAAGGGAGCGCAGGCGGGAAGACAAGUUGGAAGUGAAAUCUAUGGGCUCAACCCAUAAACUGCUUUCAAAACUGUUUUUCUUGAGUAGUGCAGAGGUAGGCGGAAUUCCCGGUGUAGCGGUGGAAUGCGUAGAUAUCGGGAGGA
This 591-nucleotide ribosomal RNA is filed under the name uncultured Lachnospiraceae bacterium. RNAcentral describes it as "bacterial SSU rRNA". It matches the Rfam family "Bacterial small subunit ribosomal RNA", at positions 98 to 705 of the family's 1533-position model. Lineage: Bacteria; Bacillati; Bacillota; Clostridia; Lachnospirales; Lachnospiraceae. The record is from RNAcentral.